AUACGGAGGGGACUAGCGUUGUUCGGAAUCACUGGGCGUAAAGGACGCGUAGGCGGGUUUGUAAGUCAGGUGUGAAAUCCUACAGCUCAACUGUAGAACUGCACUUGAAACUACAGACCUAGAGUAUGGAAGGGGCAGAUGGAAUUAGUGGUGUAGGGGUAAAAUCCGUAGAUAUCACUAGGAAUACCGAAAGCGAAGGCGAUCUGCUGGGACAUUACUGACGCUGAGGCGUGAAAGCGUGGGUAGCAAACGGGAUUAGAAACCCCGGUAGUCC
RNAcentral lists this ribosomal RNA (274 nucleotides) under uncultured bacterium. RNAcentral describes it as "partial 16S ribosomal RNA". It matches the Rfam family "Bacterial small subunit ribosomal RNA", at positions 523 to 796 of the family's 1533-position model. The record is from RNAcentral.